AAAUAUGCGGUGAAAAAGAUCUACUUUAUAAUCCCAUUCAACUGUGGAUUGAACUGAAGAGUCAAGGAGUCCAAAGUGGUCAGCCUGAAAAUUCUGAGAAGAUACAACUGUGCAAGCAGAAAUCUGAUGAAGGGAGAUGGAGUGGGAGGUGAAAUGCCCUGUUUUCUUUAGACGCUGACUCCUGCUGUCUACCAGAUCCUCGUGGUACAAUGACUGGUGUAGACUGGCUUGUUGAAGUCACUCUCUGGAUCUGAGCAACGCUGGCUGAGCCGUGAUGAAGUAUUCCUAUCCAUCCACUAUGCUUCACAGUGGGAAUCUCUCACUGUUCAUCACCGCUGCCCUAGCAGCCGCAGGGAUUCUUCACCCAUGGUUGCUUAGGUUUAUAAGCAAGGAAGCUGAAUGAAGUCCCUUUCCUCUCUGGAUGAGCCCCUGGGUUUCUGGAAGAGUCUUAAAAUCACCCCUAAAUGGCUUCCAAGCACUGAAGCCCGAGAUGUUAGCUGGCCUGUGUGAGGCCUUGAGACAGAAUGCCACAGCCACACCCCAAGGAUGCUGAAGGGGAUUUCCCUCCUCUGUGGUUUUUCUCCUUUCUUCCCGCAGCACUCCUCCUACGUGCUAACAUCUUCUAGUCAAACAACUCUCCUUUUCAAAGGGACCAGGCACAGUUUCUGCUUAUCCCUGAGUAGCAGUGUUCAGUUUCCUGCCAGCCUGUGGAGUUUUUCAAACAAGCCAAUCACCUCCUCCUGUGGGAACUGAGAAGCACCCCACCCUCUCGAUACUACAAAGCCCCUGCUUGUUCCCUAGUGCAACUCCCAUGUGGUCCUGUGGAGCAUAUGGUAUCUUCCUCUUCUGGGCAGUGAGCAUAUGUGACUAAUAAACUAUCUAUCUCA
This 887-nucleotide long non-coding RNA is filed under the name Homo sapiens (human). RNAcentral's name for it is "LRRC52 antisense RNA 1". The record is from RNAcentral. Lineage: Eukaryota; Metazoa; Chordata; Mammalia; Primates; Hominidae.